CCUACGGGAGGCAGCAGUGAGGAAUAUUGGUCAAUGGCCGGGAGGCUGAACCAGCCAAGUCGCGUGAGGGAAGACGGCCCUACGGGUUGUAAACCUCUUUUGUCAGGGAGCAAGGUGCAGGUCGGGACCUGCUGUGAGCGUACCUGACGAAAAAGCAUCGGCUAACUCCGUGCCAGCAGCCGCGGUAAUACGGAGGAUGCGAGCGUUAUCCGGAUUUAUGGGGUUUAAAGGGUGCGCAGGCGGAGGCACAAGUCAGCGGUAAAAUCGCGGGGCUCAACCCCGCUCCGCCGUUGAAACUGUGGCCCUUGAGUGCGCGAAGGGUAGGCGGAAUGCGUGGUGUAGCGGUGAAAUGCAUAGAUAUCACGCAGAACUCCGAUCGCGAAGGCAGCCUACCGGCGCGCAACUGACGCUCAUGCACGAAAGCGUGGGUAUCGAACAGGAUUAGAUACCCUAGUAGUC
Molecule: ribosomal RNA, 459 nt
Filed under: uncultured bacterium
Lineage: Bacteria
Description: partial 16S ribosomal RNA
Rfam family: Bacterial small subunit ribosomal RNA
Source: RNAcentral